UGGGCCUGUAACUCAGCUUGGUAGAGUACCCGACUCAUAAUCGGGGAGCCACGGGAUCGAAGCCCAUCAGGCCCAUC
RNAcentral lists this transfer RNA (77 nucleotides) under Nitrososphaerota archaeon. Its description in RNAcentral is "tRNA-Met". It matches the Rfam family "tRNA". From Rfam's summary of the family: Transfer RNA (tRNA) molecules are approximately 80 nucleotides in length. Their secondary structure includes four short double-helical elements and three loops (D, anti-codon, and T loops). The record is from RNAcentral. Lineage: Archaea; Thermoproteati; Nitrososphaerota.